Long non-coding RNA from Canis lupus familiaris (dog), 1623 nucleotides. RefSeq lists it as uncharacterized. The transcript is spliced from 3 exons. NCBI's taxonomy places the organism in Eukaryota, Metazoa, Chordata, Mammalia, Carnivora, Canidae. The record is from RefSeq and is a predicted model, not a curated record.
GAAAAUAUAAAAUGGAUCUUUGAAAAACGUGUAAUCCAUCCUUCUCCAAUUUAAAUUUAUCUGAAGUCUAUUGCCAAUGUGAUGACUCUUGCUUUAUACCAUCACUUAUAUUUUUGAUAUCAAAGGGGAAACAAAUUUUAAGAGGGUUAUAUCCUAUUCCAUAAAGGUACAGUGGUUUAUUUAUAACAUGCCAUUUUUAUCAUAGGUCACUAGAGAGAGUAAUCAGGCUUUCUUUGAAAGAGUUCAGAAUGGUAAAACAAAAACAAAAUCUUAGUCUGGAUUUUUUACCAAUAUAUUAAAUUUCUGUAAAAUAAUUUACAUUUAUAUAACAACAUAGAGUAUAGUGAAAGGGAUGAAACCUUUAAAGAUUUUAUUUAUUUAUUCAUCAGAGACACAGAGAGGGAGGCAGAGACAUAGGCAGAGGGAGAAGCAGGCUCCCUUUAGGGAGACCGAUGUGGGACUUGAUCCCAGGACUCCGGGGGAUCAUGACCUGAGCAGAAGGCAGAUGCUUAACCACUGAGCCACCCAGGCAUCCCGAGAUGAGACCUUUGAAGUCAAACUGGAUUGUACUGGAAUCUGGUUCAGUACCAGAUUGGUUCAGCCCUUCCAAACCCAUUCCCAGACUUCUCCACUUCCCCCAACGUUCCACAGAAAGGCUGAGAGGUUCUGGCGUUAUUGAGACUCCGAGUGGAACAAAACACAGUCCCUGUCCUCAGUAGAAAGAACAUCAUAGUGAUUGAUGCAAGAAGUCCACAAGAGGCUCAGAAGAGACCUUUUUAGAGUACCUCAGAGCACAAAGGAUGGAGCAGCUGAAUCUUCCGGGAGUGAUCACGGGAGGCUGCCCAGAGGAACUUGAGCACUAUUAUUUGAAGCCCAUUUUCUUGAGAAUCGAGGAGAUGCCGGGGAAAGGACGUAACUCGUGUUCACUGCCAAGUUUAAGAAACCUCGAGGCAUGUGGGGGAACUGGUGAACAUCCCAACAGGAGUCUGUGCAGAGGGAAGGACCUCCCCGGGGAGAUCUCAUCCAAAGGCAAGAAGGCUGCGAAGGCCAGCAGGGCCUGAAGAAGAGGCCUUUUUGCCUUGGAAGGGGGUAGCACAGCUACAGCACAGUGGUGACUGUCACCUAACCACUGAUAGCAUGUUUGGGUCACUGGGACGAGGAGCAUUGUGUAACACCCCAAAGAACUGUUUUUACCAAAACCUGUAACAUUUUUGACCCAAGACACAUUGCUUUGGGGAACCAUUCCAGUAGCUUUCAACAUGAAUAGGAGAGCCAGCUUCCUCCUGUCGCACAAUAUGACCUUGCAGUUCGACACCUCGCAGACCCAGGAGGGCGCCUAGAUGGGACUGUGCGGAGUCUGAGGGACCUCCAGGGAGGAGGACCCCCCAUGGGGAAGCAACACAAGGCAGCUUGGGUGCUUGGUGCAGCUGUCACUGGCACCUUGGGGCCCCUGUCCCAGCUAAGGGAGAGAUUGCCGUACCCAGAGAAGGCACUAAAGUUCUAAGUAGACACAGUGAGCAGGUUAACAGCAGUGCCUGGGGGAGCAGCUUGGACGGUGGUGUGUAGGCGGGUGGGCGAGCACACGUGACACCCCUCACGGGGACCCCUCAGACAGGGAGUGUC